Long non-coding RNA from Eucalyptus grandis, 734 nucleotides. RefSeq lists it as uncharacterized. The transcript has 2 exons. The record is from RefSeq and is a predicted model, not a curated record. NCBI's taxonomy places the organism in Eukaryota, Viridiplantae, Streptophyta, Magnoliopsida, Myrtales, Myrtaceae.
CACCUCUCGCAACCACUGCCCAUAUGCCAUUUUCUCCUUGCCUUCCAUCUUUGCUUCUGUGAAAGGUAUAUCCUUGCAAUAUGAUGCAUAAUGACCGAUUUUGCCACAUGAAUAGCAAAAAUGGGGCAAUCUUUCGUAUCGAAAAUCCAGCCAUAUAACUUUGCCUGCUAUACGUAUGAGUUGACCCACUUUCAGUGGUUCUUUUAAGUUGAAUUCUACACGUACCCUGCCUGCUCUGAUUGUUGAUUUGUCUUUAAGAUCAAGUUUUACAUCCCUCACCUUUCCCACAUUUUCCUGAGCAUAUCUUCAGUACACCAUUCCAGAGGCAAGCCAUAUACUUGUACCCACAAAGGGCAAGUAUUAAACUCAUAGCAGUGCAGUGGUGUAUUUGGUUUCCAAGGCUGAAAUAUGAUUAAAUGACUAGAAAACCGCCAAGGGCGGUUCGUCUUGCCAAUCUUCGAUUUCCUGAUCCGUCCAAAGACGCCCCAUCCUCUGGCAGAGAGCAACAAGUCGGAAAUUGUCAACAUCUUCUUGGGUAUCCAUUAACAGCACAUUCAAAGUAAUCGGCUCAAGCGAGAAAAGCUGAUCAGAGACUAUAUGGCCAUGUAACACUUAAAGGGAUUGAAAUGUCAUCAAUGUCUGUGGUUAGGGUUUGGACAUUUAGAGCCGAUGCAUGUCAAGAUAAAGUUUUUAUAGAAGAAAGAUAGGGUUUGGUUUGCUGGGUAAGCGGAGAA